This 468-nucleotide ribosomal RNA is filed under the name uncultured bacterium. RNAcentral describes it as "partial 16S ribosomal RNA". It matches the Rfam family "Bacterial small subunit ribosomal RNA", at positions 28 to 507 of the family's 1533-position model. The record is from RNAcentral.
GACGAACGCUGGCGGCGUGCUUAACACAUGCAAGUCGAACGGAAAGGCCCUGCUUUUGUGGGGUGCUCGAGUGGCGAACGGGUGAGUGACACGUGAGUAACCUGCCCUUGACUUUGGGAUAACUUCAGGAAACUGGGGCUAAUACCGGAUAGGAGCUCCUGCUGCAUGGUGGGGGUUGGAAAGUUUCGGCGGUUGGGGAUGGACUCGCGGCUUAUCAGCUUGUUGGUGGGGUAGUGGCUUACCAAGGCUUUGACGGGUAGCCGGCCUGAGAGGGUGACCGGCCACAUUGGGACUGAGAUACGGCCCAGACUCCUACGGGAGGCAGCAGUGGGGAAGAUUGCACAAUGGGCGGAAGCCUGAUGCAGCAACGCCGCGUGCGGGAUGACGGCCUUCGGGUUGUAAACCGCUUUCGCCUGUGACGAAGCGUGAGUGACGGUAAUGGGUAAAGAAGCACCGGCUAACUACGUG